This 115-nucleotide ribosomal RNA is filed under the name Acinetobacter baumannii. The record is from RNAcentral. Lineage: Bacteria; Pseudomonadati; Pseudomonadota; Gammaproteobacteria; Moraxellales; Moraxellaceae.
GCUGGCGACCAUAGCAAGAGUGAACCACCUGAUCCCUUCCCGAACUCAGAAGUGAAACCUCUUAGCGCUGAUGGUAGUGUAGGAUUACCCAUGUGAGAGUAAGUCAUCGCCAGCU